GAAGGGGGGAGGGGUAGCAUUGGGAGAUAUCCCUAAUGCUAGAUGACGAGUUAGUGGGUGCAGCGCACCAGCAUGGCACAUGUAUACAUAUGUAACUAACCUGCACAAUGUGCACAUGUACCCUAAAACUUAAAGUAUAAUAAAAAAAAAAAGAAGAUGUAAUGGUGUGUGAAUAUGGAAGUUUUCUGAUCAACUUUAUUUUCUCAGUGAAAUAGAAAAAAUAUCAGCUGAGAAUGGGGAUAGAGGAGGAGAGUUUGGAGACUGAAGUGGAAAGAAGAUAUAAAAUAGACAUUGAAGAGAGAGAGAGAGAGAAUAGAUUGUUCUAACUCUUAGGGAGUAAUUUCCUUGUAUUACAUCAUGCAUCUCCCAGAUAGAGAGAUCUCUUAUUUUCAUGAUGAAUCAAGUUCUCUCCAACAUUGAUACCUCUAUUCAUUAUUAAUGCAACAAUGAGUGCCAUAAAGAUACCUGUGAAUUUAAAUUGCAUAAUAUAUAAAAUGUUUUGUAGAUAUUGACUGCUUUUAUAAAAUAAAUAAUUCUAGGUACAUCACAAGAAAAUGUCUGAUAUUAAUUUGCUUCAAAAGUUCUCUGCCAAUUUCUCUCAUAUGCCUAUCUGAAUAUGGUCUGUAGACUCAAGAAGACAGCCUGUGAUGGGAAUAAUUAACAUGCUGGGCACAAGCAAGUCAUUUGAUCGAGUAGAGUUAGCCUCUAAUGCCCUCCACUGCUGACCCUCAGCUCCUCUUUUAGGAAGAGUAACCGCAUCCCCACUGCGGGUUCCACCCCUUCAUGUUUACAUAUUAUUAUAGAUAUUUGUUUCCAAUUUCUUCAUCCAUAUGUAGGUGCAAAUAACUAAUAAAACCUCAU
This 861-nucleotide long non-coding RNA is filed under the name Homo sapiens (human). RNAcentral describes it as "HSALNT0252102". Lineage: Eukaryota; Metazoa; Chordata; Mammalia; Primates; Hominidae. The record is from RNAcentral.